This 442-nucleotide ribosomal RNA is filed under the name uncultured bacterium. RNAcentral describes it as "bacterial SSU rRNA". It matches the Rfam family "Bacterial small subunit ribosomal RNA", at positions 339 to 796 of the family's 1533-position model. The record is from RNAcentral.
CUACGGGAGGCAGCAGUGGGGAAUCUUGCGCAAUGGGCGAAAGCCUGACGCAGCAACGCCGCGUGCGGGAUGACGGCCUUCGUGGUUGUAAACCGCUUUCAGCAGGGACGAAAAUGACGGUACCUGCAGAAGAAGUCCCGGCUAACUACGUGCCAGCAGCCGCGGUAAAACGUAGGACGCGAACGUUAUCCGGAUUUACUGGGCAUAAAGCGCGUGCAGGCGGUGGCUUAAGUCGUGCGUGAAAGCUCCCUGGCUCAACCGGGAGAGGCCGCGCGAAACUGGGUCACUGGAGGACGGUAGAGGCGUGUGGAAUUCCGGGUGUAGUGGUGAAAUGCGUAGAUAUCCGGAGGAACACCAGUGGCGAAGGCGACACGCUGGGCCGUACCUGACGCUCAGACGCGAAAGCAUGGGUAGCGAACGGGAUUAGAAACCCUAGUAGUCC